Molecule: long non-coding RNA, 1012 nt
Filed under: Mustela putorius furo (domestic ferret)
Lineage: Eukaryota; Metazoa; Chordata; Mammalia; Carnivora; Mustelidae
Description: lncRNA (ENSMPUG00000029554.1)
Source: RNAcentral
CGUGUUGCAAUUUUGGAGGGGGGGGUAUCUGCCCUGCUCCCUGUCAGACUGUGAGGUCCCCAGGGUGAGAGACUUGCUUGUGUCUGUGUCCCCAGCACCCAGCACAGGGCUGGGCACAGAGGAAAUGCCUAAUAAAUGUUGACUGGCUAGCUGGCAGGAGGAUGGGGAUACAUCCAAGUGGGGAAACGGCAGGCGCAGUUGCAUGGCAACCAGGAGCCCAAGGACUGACUAUCAAAACAGCCCCUGGAAUGAUCUGGAAGCUUCAUGGCCCCAUCAGAUAAGCACAUCCGCUCAUCCCUGUGGCUGUCUCUGUGGAACAAAGAUGUGGAUUGCACAAUUGGGCUUGGGCUGAGGAGGCACUUACUGGCCCCUUUAUCUGGCGUGGGCAUCCGGCUCCAUGUUCUAGAACUGCACAGCCCACACCUCCCAGCAGGCCACACGUCCUGGGCUCCGGCAGCAGCAGUGGGCGGGCAGAAAUAAAAAUGGCCACUUCUUAAUUUCAGAAUAUUUUGCAGCUGAAAUUAUCUUCAAAAGGCGUCAACCUCUGUCUGCUCUGUAUUUAAGACAGCAGAACAACAGGAAACAAAAAUGCCUCCUCUUCUGUUGACUCUAGGCCAGAAACCGACCUCUGUACCCUCUCAGGAAGACCUGGAUUUUGAAAGCUGGCAUCUGGAGUUUUUAUCUCAAGAACAAUCCUCUCCACUCAAUAAUAGGAAAGAAACAGCAAAGGGUUAAAAACAAUUUUUUUUUUUUUAACAUCAAAAUCGGGUUUGGUUCUCCAGAAAAGGCCAGAAGAGCUGAAGCUAAUUCACAUGUUACUCAAACAACCAACCCCAAGAGAAACCAAGUUUCCUGGAAGAACAAAAGUCAAAGGCAGGAGCUGUUCAAAAGCAAGCUCAAAGUGAAACCAGAUUACGUGGGGGCCACAAGGCGGCCUUUAAGCUGAACCUCAAAAAUAGCAUCUGUCCCCUGGAUAUUUUGGGAGUGUCCUGGGCAAAGCACGGGAGGAGCC